UUAGCAGUGAGGAAUAUUGGUCAAUAGCCUAACGGCUGAACCAGCAACUUGGAGGAAUGUAUAGCAAUAGCUACUUGUAUCAUUAAUGAUGCAAGCUCGACUAUGUUGAAUAAAAUUCUAGGUAGAAUUAUGAUAAUGACAUUGUCUGCCUAUGUGUCUUGACCAAAUUACGUGCCAGCAGUCGCGGUAAUACGUAGAAGACUAGUGUUAUUCAUGUUUAAUCGGUUUAAAGGGUACCUAGACGGUGAAUCAAGCUUUAGAAUAAAGAAGAAAAGGAACUAAUUCGCUAGAGUUACUUACGAGGGGGUAGUAAAGUACUGCUGGUGUAGAGAUGAAAUUCUGUCAUACCUCUUUUCGAAAGAAAAAUUAUGGCACAGGUAUAGGCGAAGGCAUCCCCUUAUGUGAUAACUGACGUUGAAGGACGAAGGACUUCGUGGAACAAACAGGAUUAGAUACCCUAGUAGUUGAAGCAGAAAAUGAUGAAUGUCAUAGAUUAGACGUCUAAGUUUAUUCUAUAAAUGAAAGUGUAAGCAUUCCACCUCAUGAGUAAUUUGGCAACAUUGGAAUUGAAAUCAUUAGACCGUUUCUGAAACCAGUAGUGAAGUAUGUUGUUUAAUUUGAUAAUACGCAAAAAACCUUACCACAAUUUGAAUAUUUAUAUUGUUUAUUGUUAUCUUAUUAAUUUUCUUAAAAAAACUAAUUAUAGCAAAAGCAUUUUAAAACAGGAAAAGAAAAUUAAUCAAGAGGCAAUAACAUAUAUCUACAAGCGUUGCACGGCUGUCUUCAGUUAAUGUCGCGAGACUUUGGUUAGUUCCAUUAAAUUAACGUAAACCCUUACUUUAUUUUUUAUAUAGAGUAGUUCCCCGCUAUAUUGGAUAUGAUAACAGGGACUAAGACAAGUCAUCAUGGCCUAAAUAUUGUGGGCUAUAGACGUGCCACA
This 940-nucleotide ribosomal RNA is filed under the name Parmotrema pseudotinctorum. RNAcentral's name for it is "SSU rRNA". It matches the Rfam family "Bacterial small subunit ribosomal RNA", at positions 348 to 1229 of the family's 1533-position model. The record is from RNAcentral. Lineage: Eukaryota; Fungi; Ascomycota; Lecanoromycetes; Lecanorales; Parmeliaceae.